GGAGGAGGAGGAAUGGGUGGACAUGGCCACAAAGGAGGCUGCUCUCAAGAACAUCCGAGAGUAGCUCCAGGGCUGAGAAAAGGAUGAGGCCCAGCAUCUCAUGUUUCAGCACACCAUCCACCCCGCGUGUCUCGCUGCACAACAGAGAGGGCAGGACACGCUGGACCCACACUGCUGCAAGGCGGCUGUGAUGGAGAGGAUUGUGCACCGUGAUACCUGCCCUGGAGCCAGAACUGGAGACCCACCUCCUUCGAGCUGCCCUGCAUGCCAUCUUCACUCUGGGCACGGAGAAGGACACCACCCAAGUCCAGGUAGAUCAUGCUAAAGUCAUGGUUUGAAGAGCCAGCUGUCAACCUGCCACAAAUCAUUUUUAAUUGCCUGCAGUGGGAUGUGAAUGAGAGAAGCCAGGAUAUGUGUUUGGAGGUCUCAGCAGUGCUUCCCAGAGACCCCUUGUGACGGGGCGGACUGGCCCCGCACUGGGACUGAGAGAGUUAACCCUUCCCUGCUGACAGAGGAAGCCAUGCCCCUGAGGCUCUGCUGGGCAUGCUCCAACCGGGAGUCAAACAUAAAAGCCUGCAGAACUGCUUAGUUCGGGCUGGCAGCUCAGGAAGAAGGAUGCCCUGCAGAAGCUCCAGCCCAGGAGCAGUUGCAAGGAAGGAGGGAGCUGAGGAGCCAGGAAACGGGCCCAGAGACUGGCAGCUGUGGGAAUCCCAGGGAGCAUCGGGUGCUGAGGAUCCUGAAGACUCUGAUGCCACAAGAACUGCUACGUUUGGAGGACUGGUAGGAAGUGACCCAGGGAAGGGAAAGGAAUGGUAUCUCCCACCAUUAUGAAGGCAGCGUCCUGGGUCGGAGCCCUUUGAAGGCGAGUGGGCCCAGGCUCCCCUACUGGGGGUAUCUACCCCCCUCCUUUUGGGGGAUGAUGUAGUUCACCCACCCCUCUCUCACCCCAAAGGAGGUAGAUGAACUCUGGCCGCUGGGCCACGCUAUCCCCCAAGGGCAGAAGAAUUUAGAGAGAUUCUGGCCAUUAGGCCACACUGCCUUAGUAACACACUAUAGAAACUCCGGCUGCUGGGCCGUGCUACCUGACCGAGGGAAGAGGGUGUAGAGAGACUCUGGCCAUUGGGCCAUACAGCCUGACUACCGGGGAGGUAGUAAGACCAACGUAGAUGUAGGGAGGUGGGGUUAACCUCGCUUUCUCCCUCUUGAAUCAAAGGGGUUGAUGAGCUACAAAACCCGCCACACCCCUCUUCCCACCCAGUGGUAGGUGUAGCCCCACUUUCCUUAACUCUGACCCAUGGCUCUCCCUUGCUUUGGAGAUCUGGAUAGGAUCUUGCCGGACCUCCUGGACACCAUGCUGGGGAACCUGCUGGCGGAGUCCCCAGACUCCGACAGGCUCCACUGCAUC
This is a long non-coding RNA of Mauremys mutica (yellowpond turtle), 1405 nucleotides long. RefSeq lists it as uncharacterized. The transcript is spliced from 3 exons. NCBI's taxonomy places the organism in Eukaryota, Metazoa, Chordata, Testudines, Geoemydidae. The record is from RefSeq and is a predicted model, not a curated record.